UACGUAGGGUGCGAGCGUUAAUCGGAAUGACUGGGCGUAAAGGGUGAGUAGGCGGUUGAACAAGUCUGAUGUGAAAUCCCCGGGCUUAACCUGGGAAUGGCAUGGGAAACUGUUUGACUAGAGUGCGUGAGAGGGGGGUAGAAUUCCGCGUGUAGCAGUGAAAUGCGUAGAGAUGCGGAGGAAUACCGAUGGCGAAGGCAGCCCCCUGGGAUGACACUGACGCUGAAUCACGAAAGCGUGGGGAGCAAACAGG
This 253-nucleotide ribosomal RNA is filed under the name uncultured bacterium. Its description in RNAcentral is "partial 16S ribosomal RNA". It matches the Rfam family "Bacterial small subunit ribosomal RNA", at positions 524 to 776 of the family's 1533-position model. The record is from RNAcentral.